UUUUCUCCAAAUAUGACCCCCAUUUUAAAAAGUCAAGAACCCCUUUUUUGUAUGGAGUCUUUCACUGAUUUCAUAAAACAUUUAGUGACAUGGUUUGAGCCUGAAUGGAUGGGAGAACCAAGUGAAAGGCAUUGUAGAAGAAGCCUUCAAACACAGACUUAACUGAAACCACCCUCUCUUUGCUUUGCCUAUGUUAACCCCUGAAAAGGCCCACCAUUUUCUAUUUUUAAUCAGUGCCUAUAGAUUGUUUGAAGCUCCAUUGGGAAAGGUCAGGUCUGUCUUAAAGGAAUCUGGCUGUCAUAGAUGCCAGGAUAUUUAAGAAUGGAGGCUACAGGGAAGGACCACCAUGCAGAAGAAUGGUCCAGCCAGACAGCCUGACUAUCGAUCGAGAUGCAAAGCAUCACUGGACAGCAUCUGUAUCCUUCCUUCAUUUGUUCACUGAAGCUGAGGAGCAAAUGUCAGCCCCACUCAUGUGAAGGGACAGAGGGCACCACUAUGAUGUCUUGUUCUGAGGAUCUGUGGUGACAGGAUAUGGCCACACAAGGUCUUCAGCCCAUCAGUGUUCUCCUCAGAGUCUCGUGUGUGCAGCAUUUGUGUGGUGGGAGAGUCUGCAGUCUCCCAAAACAGCAUGACUAGCUGGUAACCAAGGGUUCGAACACAAAGUCCAUGGAAAACGUUUCCUCUCUAGGGCAACGCCUGUGACACUAAGCUCCAUCCUCAGUGUCUCUAUGGAGGGUCUGUGAGGACCUGUGAGGACCAGUGGAGAUAGAUGGCUGCUUUAUCCUCUGGCUGGAGACUAAUACUCAGCAGGUUCAUUACUAGGUAUUACUUUUAUCAUGCUCCGUUCUGACGCAGCUUCUCAUUACCAGACGACAUUGAACAUCAGACACAAAACACCACAAAACUCCCCGAGACCUAGGUAUGGGGGCAGGGUGGACAGGUGGCCUAGAGGCUUGACUACCACACUCUUCUCCACUUUCCAGGCAAUUGUGACCAGGAGUGGGAGAACAGCCCUCGCCUCUGCUCCUGUGACUUCCUGCGCUUGAAUGGGACGUAGUCAACCCUGCCUGAACUGAUGAAGGCUCACAUUCCCAGAAACUGCACAGUUUCCCAGGAUUCUACCCCCAUACGGCAUCAGCAACAACAGGGGUCGUGUGUGUGCUCACAGCUCCCGUGGAACUGUGAAUCAUGACACACCCACACCGCUGACACAUAUACCUCUGCUAUGUGCUUCAUUGGCAAGAAUGGCAAAAACACAUGGUUCUCCAGUGAGCACCAUUUGGUCAGAUGCUGCUGUGGCACUGGAGAGAAGGAAGACAGCCACGUGAUGUCACAUCAAACCAGGGCCUGCUCAGACUAACAAGAGGACAUAUGUCAAGGUCUGAAGUCCAGAUUCCAGACCAGAGGCUCUUGGGAAUUCCGGAGAAAAAUAAAUCUUGGUGUUCAAUG
Molecule: non-coding RNA, 1449 nt
Organism: Rattus norvegicus (Norway rat)
Lineage: Eukaryota; Metazoa; Chordata; Mammalia; Rodentia; Muridae
Source: RefSeq, a predicted model, not a curated record